UACGGAGGUGGCAAGCGUUGCUCGGAAUCACUGGGCUUAAAGGGCGCGUAGGCGGGCGGACAAGUCAGAGGUGAAAGCCCACGGCUCAACCGUGGAAGUGCCCCUGAUACUGUUCGUCUGGAGGGGGAUAGGGGCGUGCGGAACUUCCGGUGGAGCGGUGAAAUGCGUAGAUAUCGGAAGGAACACCGGUGGCGAAAGCGGCGCGCUGGAUCCCUACUGACGCUGAGGCGCGAAAGCCAGGGGAGCAAACGGG
This 253-nucleotide ribosomal RNA is filed under the name uncultured bacterium. Its description in RNAcentral is "partial 16S ribosomal RNA". It matches the Rfam family "Bacterial small subunit ribosomal RNA", at positions 524 to 776 of the family's 1533-position model. The record is from RNAcentral.